This 501-nucleotide ribosomal RNA is filed under the name uncultured bacterium. RNAcentral's name for it is "bacterial SSU rRNA". It matches the Rfam family "Bacterial small subunit ribosomal RNA", at positions 30 to 524 of the family's 1533-position model. The record is from RNAcentral.
AUUGAACGCUGGCGGUAUGCUUAACACAUGCAAGUCGAACGGUAACAGGUCUUCGGAUGCUGACGAGUGGCGGACGGGUGAGUAACGCGUAGGAAUCUGCCUAUUAGUGGGGGACAACAUGUGGAAACGCAUGCUAAUACCGCAUACGCCCUACGGGGGAAAGGAGGGGACCUUCGGGCCUUUCGCUAAUAGAUGAGCCUGCGUUAGAUUAGCUAGUUGGUGGGGUAAAGGCCUACCAAGGCGACGAUCUAUAGCUGUUCUGAGAGGAAGAUCAGCCACACUGGGACUGAGACACGGCCCAGACUCCUACGGGAGGCAGCAGUGGGGAAUAUUGGACAAUGGGCGCAAGCCUGAUCCAGCAAUACCGCGUGUGUGAAGAAGGCCCAGGGUUGUAAAGCACUUUCAAUGGGGAGGAAAAGAGUAAGCUAAUACCUUGCUUAUUGACAUUACCCAUACAAGAAGACACCGGACUAACGUACCGUGACCAGCAGCCGCGGUAAU